CUGCUUUACUCUGGAGAGCGCUGCCCAUGAAGGCAGCCACCGAAGGGGCUAACGGCGGCUGAAAAUGCCCGCCGGAAAAUCUCAGGUGUCAGGACAGAGGGGUGUUG
RNAcentral lists this non-coding RNA (107 nucleotides) under Aquitalea magnusonii. Its description in RNAcentral is "Glycine sequence". It matches the Rfam family "Glycine riboswitch aptamer". From Rfam's summary of the family: This family represents the bacterial glycine riboswitch. Lineage: Bacteria; Pseudomonadati; Pseudomonadota; Betaproteobacteria; Neisseriales; Chromobacteriaceae. The record is from RNAcentral.